ACUAUGAUGAGGCCGGGUGAGCGCACAGUGGGACACUAUGAUGAGGCCAGGUGAGUGCACACUGGGACACUAUGAUGAGGCUAGGUGAGUGCACACUGGGACACUAUGAUGCGACCAGGUGAAUGCACACUGGGACAAUAUGAUGAGGCCAGGUGAGUGCACACUGGUGCACUAUGAUGAGGCUAGGUGAGUGCACACUCUGGCAGUAUGAUGAGGCUAGGUGAGUGCACACUGGGGCACUAUGAUGAGGCUAGCUGAGCUGACACUGGGACACUAUGAUGAGGCUAGGUUAGCGCAUAGUGGGACACUAGGAUGAGUCCGCGUGAGUGCACACUGGGACACUAUGAUGGGGCUAGGUGAGCGGACACUGGGACACUAUGAUGAGGCCGGGUGAGCCCACACUGGGGCACUAUGAUGAGGGUAGGUGAGUGCACACUGG
Molecule: long non-coding RNA, 439 nt
Filed under: Pan troglodytes (chimpanzee)
Lineage: Eukaryota; Metazoa; Chordata; Mammalia; Primates; Hominidae
Description: long non-coding RNA NONPTRT015452
Source: RNAcentral